AAUCAGACAACCAAACUGCUGACAUGAAAAAACACUUGCAGAGUCAGCAAAAAUAAAAUGAUUGCUAUACAAGAAGCCAACAUGCUGUAUAAAAAUUACACAUUAUUGAUAUUUAAAAUGAAGCAAUGAAAGAUUAAAUAUAUGAAGAAUAGGAAUGAACUAUGGAUAUUCUCAAAAAUAGUAAUGGUUCAUAAACUGUCCUUAAUGAACCAAUUCAGACUAACAUUUCGAAUUUGAAUGCACUCAGCAUUUUGAACACUAGGUGGUGCAAAAACAAUAAUCCAUAAACUAGUAAAUACAUUAUGUACAUCAUGCAGAGUUCAGGAACUACAUCUCAGUGUUCAGGAUUCAGGGUAGGAACAGCUGGUUACUGUCGUGUUCAGCAAAAACCAAUAUUAAAGAGGAUGGCAGAACCAGCCUCAUGACAUGUUGAGAUUACAAAGUAUGACUUGCUAUAUAUAGAAACGUCUUUUCGACUGACAGGAGCCUCCAGGCAAUUAAUAAUGACCUCUGAGGAGCAGGACAGUGACGAUGGAGAAUAUCGUAGCAUUGAAGAUGCCCAGUACAGAGUUAUCUACACUCAUACAAAGAACUCCAAGGAGGCAAGUUUUGGCAUGGGUUGGAAUUCUGUGAAAAGGAAAACAUUAUUAAGAAGAGAUGUUCAGCAGGUCGUUCAGCGUACAACCCUGGGAGACUCAAGCGGGUUGUGUCAUGUAAAAGGAAGACCCACCAUCUCAAUGUUAGCCGGAGGAAGCAGCCAUCUACAGGGAGAACUCACGAUGUGGCCAGCAAAAAGAAUGAAAUUGCCUGUGUGCAGGACGAGAUGGAAGAAAUAUUUUACAUGGACCCAUGGGAAUUUCCACCCACAGUCCCUGAUACUAGUGAGACAGAGGAGCGUGUUUCAAAAGACAGUGACUACUUUAUAGAGGUUUGAAAUACCAGUAGUCUAUAGGCCUUAAGUGUUGGUUGUCUUAUCAUCAUGAUAUGCUUUUUGUUACAUAGGGUAUUGGAGUAUAUUCCAAUUCUGCGUUCUUUUAGUUGUCAAAAGACCACAGCAGAAUGAUGGAGGUGUUGUUUGGAAGAAACCUGAGACUGACUGUUGCCUUGACCCUGUGGCAAAGAAAUGUUGGAGAACUGCUGACAUAUUUUUUAAGAAUCCAAGACUCUGGUGUGUUUGUUGAUUUUCUUCCAAUGAUAAUAAAAAGCCUUGAUGCUGAGUCACCGAGAGUUUCCAUUGGCUGUUGUGUUGACCUUUUCCCCCUUGUGAAAAAGGUCCUCACUAAUCCAUAUGAAGAUUACUUGGUAGUUGGUUUACAAUGGAUCCACUCAGUGUUGAAACAUUGGUGGCCAGCGCUCUCAGCAAGUAAACGAAGUGACACUCAGUGUACGGAUGGAAAUGUUCAAGUGUUCAAACAGCAGCUAAAAGAGUUUUGGGACCAGGAGCCCUAUUUGAUUUCCGUUCCUGGAAGUGCAGGGGAGAUCGCAAAGGUUAUAGACUCUUGCCUUUUAAAACUGCCCUGAUGGAAGUAGUGGCCCAUAUUAAGCUCCUGACAAUGUACAUGUUGAAACAACUUAUAAUACACAAUGUACUGUACUGGUGACAGUGAAGUGUUUUACUGGAGGUUUGAUGUUAGGAAAAACGUUACCUGGAUAGUUUGGUCGCUAAAGGGUGCCCUUCCAACUAAUAGACACAGAACAAUUGUUGUGCCUUUUUCUUUUUAAAGUAUUUCCAUGUAACUGAAUGUAGAAUUUGUGAUGACUAAAUGCUAUCAUGACUUCACUUCACGAUGGCAAGAAAUUGAUCCAUCAGAUAAAAGUACAUCGAACUGACUUGUUACAAAACCAUUUGAAGAUGUGGUUUAGGAAUUAAAUUGAUUUUGAACUUUUAUUUUAUUGUAAAUGUAAAUAAUUUCCAAAAUAAAAAUGUUAGUUCUACAAU
RNA transcript from Esox lucius (northern pike), 1939 nucleotides. It is a transcript of the gene named KATNB1-like protein 1, with no coding region annotated. The record is from RefSeq and is a predicted model, not a curated record. The transcript is spliced from 9 exons. NCBI's taxonomy places the organism in Eukaryota, Metazoa, Chordata, Actinopteri, Esociformes, Esocidae.